AGAUCCAACCAGUCCCUCCUAAAGGAAAUCAGUCCUGAACAUUCACUGGAGGGACUGAUGCUAAAGCUGAAGCUCUAACACUUUGCCCACCUGAUGCGAAGAACUGACUCAUUGGAAAAGACCCUGAUGCUGGGAAAGAUUGAAGGCGGGAGGAGAAAGGGACGACAGAGGAUGAGAUUGGCUGGAUGGCAUCACCGACUCAAUGGACAUGGGUUUGAGUAAACUCCAGGAGUUGGUGAAGGACAGGGAGGCCUGGCAUGCUGCGGUUCAUGGGGUCACAAAGAGUCGGACACGACUGAGCGACUGAACUGAACUGAACUGAACUGAACAGCAGUCCUAGGUGCUCAGAAAAGCCGUCAGGCCCCAACUGUGGGUGCCGCUGGCUGGAGACCAGGGAGACUGCCCCGGACACAGCUGCAGACAGCCAGAGGCAGGGCCAGCCCCUGGCUGCCAAGAAGGGUGCCUCAGGGACAAGCCUCUCUCUGGGGAGCGGGGUUUCCUUAAGGGGGGAAGCUCGGAGCAGGGCUCAGCUUCCCUGUGCCUCCCCCUCCGAGGAACAAAUCGUCACAAACCCAGGGAACCAAAGCAGCAAUGUUUGCGGGCCAGAAGCCGAAGACUCUGGGCGGCAGGCUGGGCUUCCUGCCCCAGCACCCCCUCCACACGUCCACCUGCUAAACCCCAGGCCCAGCUCCCGCCAGCCCCGCAGGAAGUACAGCCUCAGAGGUCAGGCUGCCGUCUCCCCAGCCAGAGAAGGAUACCUCGGGGAAGGGGCACCUUGAAUAGCCACCCCCUCUUCUACCCAGGAAGCUCCCGUGGGUGCUCCAUAUGCUUUGUUGCAGAAGCAACAUGGCUCAGGGAACAUCAGUGCGAGACCGCCAGCCGGCCACCCUUCCCAAGAUGCUGGAGGAUGGUCGGGACACGUGGCUGCUGCACAAAGCUCUGGACUCUAGCCCUGCUGCAGGGGGGAGGCCCCGACUUCAGACCUGGGCGUUGAGGGAGGCCCAGGGCCGCCCACCCACCUGCAGGGACCAGACAGCCCACAGAUAGCCCCACCUGAGCCCCAGGCAACGUCUCUAUGGGCGUGCAUUCAGGAGAUGAUGCUGGCUCCUGGCCUCCACCAGUGUCCUUGUGAGAAGGCUCAACGCCCAGAGGGGAGGGCGGAGGAAGGACAGAGCAGAGCCGGAGGGGUGGGGGAGGUCUCCAGAGGGCCCUCCUGCUGCCCAAGGCCCUGGUUUGGGGUCCCAGGUCAGGGCAGGCCCAGGAGGCUCCCACACCACUGUCUGCGCCAGCUCCCCUGCAGUGGGUGGCCUUGGGGGAAGGCUGUGGAAAACAGGGUCCACAGACAGGGCGGGGGGGG
This 1357-nucleotide long non-coding RNA is filed under the name Ovis aries (sheep). RNAcentral describes it as "lncRNA (ENSOARG00000026472.1)". Lineage: Eukaryota; Metazoa; Chordata; Mammalia; Artiodactyla; Bovidae. The record is from RNAcentral.